RNAcentral lists this ribosomal RNA (526 nucleotides) under Bifidobacterium adolescentis. RNAcentral's name for it is "partial 16S ribosomal RNA". It matches the Rfam family "Bacterial small subunit ribosomal RNA", at positions 158 to 695 of the family's 1533-position model. The record is from RNAcentral. Lineage: Bacteria; Bacillati; Actinomycetota; Actinomycetes; Bifidobacteriales; Bifidobacteriaceae.
GGGUGGUAAUGCCGGAUGCUCCAGUUGACCGCAUGGUCCUCUGGGAAAGAUUCAUCGGUAUGGGAUGGGGUCGCGUCCUAUCAGCUUGAUGGCGGGGUAACGGCCCACCAUGGCUUCGACGGGUAGCCGGCCUGAGAGGGCGACCGGCCACAUUGGGACUGAGAUACGGCCCAGACUCCUACGGGAGGCAGCAGUGGGGAAUAUUGCACAAUGGGCGCAAGCCUGAUGCAGCGACGCCGCGUGCGGGAUGACGGCCUUCGGGUUGUAAACCGCUUUUGACUGGGAGCAAGCCCUUCGGGGUGAGUGUACCUUUCGAAUAAGCACCGGCUAACUACGUGCCAGCAGCCGCGGUAAUACGUAGGGUGCAAGCGUUAUCCGGAAUUAUUGGGCGUAAAGGGCUCGUAGGCGGUUCGUCGCGUCCGGUGUGAAAGUCCAUCGCUUAACGGUGGAUCCGCGCCGGGUACGGGCGGGCUUGAGUGCGGUAGGGGAGACUGGAAUUCCCGGUGUAACGGUGGAAUGUGUAGAU